AAGAAAAUACUUGGAGCUCUAAGUGGGAAAAUGGCAACCACGAGAAACCUCUUCUUAUUGUACUUGGGCCGCCCCAGCUGCAGCUGCUUAUCGUCAUCAUCAUUAUCACUAUCAAGAGCAAUGUCGACAUUCCACUUCAAUUCGAUUCCUACUUACCCAGGCCUCGCUCGAUGUAACACUGGGAAGUCAUUUAAUUCCGCUCGCAGCAUCACCCAUGAGAAGAAUAAGAAGGAGAAGAAGUGCAGUAAGAAGAGUGACGACUCAAAUAAGAGUAAGAAGCGAGAUGAUUCGGGAUGGUCUGCCGUUGCGGAGUCGUUUGUGAAGAGGAGGACCCGUUCUGACAGGGAAUUCAUGUGGGAGCAUGUCCAGCGCUACGGCAGUAGCUGCACUCACAUCCCCGUAAUGCUGGGAGACGUCUUAGAGGUGUUUGCUCCUCACCCCCAUCGACCACCCCUCCACUCUUUCGUUGACUGUACUGUUGGAGCGGCAGGACACUCUUCUGCGAUAAUUCAUGCCCAUUCAGAAAUGCAGCUAUUUGUUGGAUUGGAUGUUGAUCCCUUGGCACAUGAAAAGGCUCACACUCAGAUCUAUGCUCUCUUGAAUGAGGAUUGCAACUUAGCUUCAAACUUGAAUGUGUACACCUUUUUGAAAAAUUUCAAGGAUAUCAAAUCUGUUCUCUGUGAUGUUGAUGAGAAGCUCUUGAUCCAUGGAGUUGAUGGUUUCUUAAUGGACUUGGGAAUCUCAUCUAUGCAGGUGAACAAUGCUGAAAGAGGGUUCGGUGUUCUCAGUGAUGGGCCUCUUGAUAUGCGGAUGAAUCCUCAGGCGAGUUUGAAAGCAGAAGACAUCUUGAAUUUUUGGCCAGAGGCUGAAGUUGGACGAAUUUUACGUGAGUAUGGGGAGGAAAGCAACUGGCAGCGUCUUCAGAAGAAAAUUGUUAAUGCGCGUUUAUAUGGAGGAUUGCAUUCCACUGGCGAACUAGUGGACCUAAUUCAGAAAACCUUCCCUGCAUCUGGAGGGAGGAAAGGCUGGAUAAAGACAGCAACGAGGGUGUUCCAAGCUUUGAGGAUAGCAGUUAACAAUGAACUCCAGACAUUGGAGGAUGCCCUUUAUGCUUGUUUUGACUGUCUUUCCUCUGGGGGUAGACUUGUUGUAAUAUCUUUCCAUAGCUUGGAGGACAGGAUUGUAAAACAAACAUUUCUUGACAUCAUUGACAAUAAGGGUGAGGAGAUUGAUGGAAAUACAAGGAAGGGAAAGGAUGACAUUGCUGAAGAAUCGUGGAUUAAACAGAAAAUAAAAGGCAGGAAAGGCACCAUUCUUACGAAGAGACCAAUAACACCUUCUGAAGAGGAAGAAAGGUUGAAUCGUCGGUGUAGGAGUGCGAAGCUCAGAGUAAUUCAGAAGGUUUGAGGCCUGAAUAUUGCGUUUCAAGCUCACUGGAAGGCACUUGAUAUGAUUCAUUUCCUCAGGUGUUUCUGUUGUUGUUGUCGGUCUACCACUCCUGAGUCUGAGGAAUGGACCUUGGAAUAGAUGAGUGUUUGGCUGGUUCAUAAAGUGGACGGAGCUAGGGGUGUCGAUGCCCGCUUACUCGAGCUCCAUUGAAGGGGAUAGUGUACCAUCUAUGUGCCUCAUUGUAGCGGCAACAAAAUCAAACCACAUAAGGUGAAAAAUGUCAGUUCUAGGGCCAUGCGCUAGUGUGAGUCAUGGACAAAAGGAUGAUCUAAUGGUAGUUUCUUGCUUUGUACGUAGUGGGCCUGGGAAUUUGAGCCAUCAAUGUAAUGUAUACGGCUGGUAGCCCAUAUCUUACAUUUUUACUCGUAUGUAAUGUUAUUGCUAAUAUAUGGAAGUUGUGUUUAGGGCCUUCAUGUUCUUUUGUAAUUGAUGGAAUAACUUUUGGAAAAAUGCAUUUAUUGGAAAAGGGAAUUUACAUAUUGUUGGAA
Macadamia integrifolia is the source of this 1937-nucleotide RNA transcript. It is a transcript of the gene named ribosomal RNA small subunit methyltransferase H, with no coding region annotated. The record is from RefSeq and is a predicted model, not a curated record. Lineage: Eukaryota; Viridiplantae; Streptophyta; Magnoliopsida; Proteales; Proteaceae. The transcript is spliced from 6 exons.